GGUGGGUUCGCAUAGCGGCAAUUGCGGCGGACUGUAAAUCCGCUGACCUAACGGUCUACAUUGGUUCGAGUCCAAUACCCACCACCA
RNAcentral lists this transfer RNA (87 nucleotides) under Opitutus sp. ER46. Its description in RNAcentral is "tRNA-Tyr". It matches the Rfam family "tRNA". From Rfam's summary of the family: Transfer RNA (tRNA) molecules are approximately 80 nucleotides in length. Their secondary structure includes four short double-helical elements and three loops (D, anti-codon, and T loops). Further hydrogen bonds mediate the characteristic L-shaped molecular structure. tRNAs have two regions of fundamental functional importance: the anti-codon, which is responsible for specific mRNA codon recognition, and the 3' end, to which the tRNAs corresponding amino acid is attached (by aminoacyl-tRNA synthetases). tRNAs cope with the degeneracy of the genetic code in two manners: having more than one tRNA (with a specific anti-codon) for a particular amino acid; and 'wobble' base-pairing, i.e. permitting non-standard base-pairing at the 3rd anti-codon position. Lineage: Bacteria; Pseudomonadati; Verrucomicrobiota; Opitutia; Opitutales; Opitutaceae. The record is from RNAcentral.